UACGUAGGGUGCAAGCGUUGUCCGGAAUUAUUGGGCGUAAAGAGCUCGUAGGCGGUUUGUUGCGUCGGCUGUGAAAUCCCGAGGCUCAACCUCGGGUCUGCAGUCGAUACGAGCAAACUAGAGUGUUGCAGGGGAGACUGGAAUUCCUGGUGUAGCGGUGAAAUGCGCAGAUAUCAGGAGGAACACCGGUGGCGAAGGCGGGGCUCUGGGCUGACACUGACGCUCAUGCACGAAAGCGUGGGGAGCAAACAGG
This 253-nucleotide ribosomal RNA is filed under the name uncultured bacterium. Its description in RNAcentral is "partial 16S ribosomal RNA". It matches the Rfam family "Bacterial small subunit ribosomal RNA", at positions 524 to 776 of the family's 1533-position model. The record is from RNAcentral.